CCGAACAUAAUAGAAAAUAAAUUUUUAUAACUCGUUUAAAAGCAACAAUUUUUCUUACGCCCACCAGUCACAAAUGCAAUGGUACCGCUACUUUUAACCCUGUUGGUACCUUUAGUGGCCUCUGGCCCGGUUACCAAGCUAGCAAAUCCUGGUGAAUUUCCAUACGUUGUUUCGAUUCGAUUAUCUUCAAAUAAUUUGCAUUUUUGCGUGGGUUCUGUCAUUGGUGCCCAUUGGGUACUAUCAUCAGCCAUUUGUUUCACACUUCCGAAUUCUUCCAAACAAAUUGUGAAUGGUACCGAUUUGAUCAUUUACAGUAACACUAUAAUGAGUGGCGGUACCAUUGGUAAUCUGAACUAUGGUAAAAAUCUGAUACUACAUCCCGGGUUCGUACGAACCCCUCAAAUAAUCCGUAACGACAUUGCGUUAAUCCAAGUCAAAAGUUCGUUCUAUUGGUGGUGGCAAAAUAAAUUAGGUGUUAGUACCACAAGUCCGAUUUCAAUCGGGCGCCAAAUUUUAGGUUCAGAUGGGCUUUCCCUAGCUUGGAGUACUCUAACACCGGAUUUGAAGAAGUUAGUUUCUGCCAAAUUAACAGUCUUUCGCCUGUCUACAACCGCAAGUACUACCAAUGGUUGUACCAACAGUGACGAAUUUAUUUGUACCAUCAAUAAACCUAAUGAUAAGACUUGUCAUUAUGAAGCUGGAGCGCCUCUUAUCACUGAUCGUGAAAAGUACCAUAAAUUGGUGGGCGUGGCGUCCCAUCUGUUCAAUGGGUGCCAGUCCAGUCCUGGAUCUUUUACCAGAGUUGAGUACUUUUUACCAUGGAUUAAUGAUGUCACGAAAUUGGGUCUUAGAGUUGAAUAAAUGAAAUUAGCACGAUUUUUAUUGUUUUAAAACCACUCUGGUACCAACAGUACCACAAAAAUAAAGUCUUGUGAACAAUU
Molecule: RNA transcript, 941 nt
Organism: Tribolium castaneum (red flour beetle)
Lineage: Eukaryota; Metazoa; Arthropoda; Insecta; Coleoptera; Tenebrionidae
Exons: 3
Source: RefSeq, a predicted model, not a curated record